GAGGGGCCCGCGCCCGAUUAGCUUGUUGGUAGGGUAACGGCCUACCAAGGCUUUGAUCGGUAGCCGGUCUGGGAGGAUGGCCGGCCACACUGGAACUGAGACACGGUCCAGACUCCUACGGGAGGCAGCAGUGGGGAAUCUUGCGCAAUGGGCGAAAGCCUGACGCAGCGACGCCGCGUGGGGGAUGAAGCCUUUCGGGGUGUAAACCCCUUUCGACCCGGACGAAUGGCCCGCAAGGGAAUUGACGGUACGGGUAGAAGAAGCCCCGGCUAACUACGUGCCAGCAGCCGCGGUAAGACGUAGGGGGCCAGCGUUGCUCGGAAUUACUGGGCGUAAAGGGUCCGUAGGCGGUGCGGCAAGUCGGGGGUGAAAUCUCUGGGCUUAACUCAGAGGCUGCCUCCGAAACUGCCGUGCUCGAGUGCGGGAGAGGCGAGCGGAAUUGCAGGUGUAGCGGUGAAAUGCGUAGAUAUCUGCAGG
RNAcentral lists this ribosomal RNA (477 nucleotides) under uncultured Acidobacteriota bacterium. Its description in RNAcentral is "bacterial SSU rRNA". It matches the Rfam family "Bacterial small subunit ribosomal RNA", at positions 224 to 704 of the family's 1533-position model. The record is from RNAcentral. Lineage: Bacteria; Pseudomonadati; Acidobacteriota.